GGGGGAUUAGCUCAGGUGGUAGAACGCUCGCUUAGCACGCGAGAGGUGGUGGGAUCGACACCCACAUUCUCCA
RNAcentral lists this transfer RNA (73 nucleotides) under Loxodonta africana (African savanna elephant). It matches the Rfam family "tRNA". Rfam says of the family: Transfer RNA (tRNA) molecules are approximately 80 nucleotides in length. Their secondary structure includes four short double-helical elements and three loops (D, anti-codon, and T loops). Lineage: Eukaryota; Metazoa; Chordata; Mammalia; Proboscidea; Elephantidae. The record is from Rfam by way of RNAcentral.